RNAcentral lists this transfer RNA (69 nucleotides) under Teloganodidae sp. MT-2014. Its description in RNAcentral is "tRNA-Gln". Lineage: Eukaryota; Metazoa; Arthropoda; Insecta; Ephemeroptera; Teloganodidae. The record is from RNAcentral.
UAUUUAGUGGUGUACGAGGCACGGGAAAUUUUGAUUUUCUUAGUUACAGUUUAAUUCUGUACUAGAUAA